RNAcentral lists this long non-coding RNA (261 nucleotides) under Gossypium barbadense (sea-island cotton). RNAcentral's name for it is "long non-coding RNA (GBAR_LNC002383)". Lineage: Eukaryota; Viridiplantae; Streptophyta; Magnoliopsida; Malvales; Malvaceae. The record is from RNAcentral.
GUGAAUAAACACCAUUUUUACUUCAUACAUUCGACCAAGCUUGAGUGAGCAAUUAAGAUCAAGAUAAGCAAAUACCAGAAUUAGAUCGGGGGAAACGAAAGGUAGACGAGUAAAUGACGUUUAUACGAGAAAAUACGAGGUAAGUUCGUAUAAUUAGAGUCAAACUUUUCUAUUCUUGUGAUUAUUUAAAAGAAUGUAUAUAAUCGAGAUAUUUGAAGUAUGAAUGUAUUACUGUUAUAUAGAAUGUGUUACCGAGCCCCG